GAAUCCCAUACAACUACAGAAAGAUGACGAAGUCAGACGAGAAACCAAAAAAAAAAUUUACAAUGAAAUCAUAACCUGAAUAAUGAACAUAAAUAAGAGUAACAAUAAUUAAUUGGUGACAAACCUUACAUUAGCCUACAGUUCAAUCCCAAUUGUAACCAAAGUACACUGUACACAUCUACUGCAUAAACUCACCAAUCGAUAGUUGGGGAUCCUGGCUAUUAGCUCUGGAUUCCAGAUUUUAAUAACAAAUCAAUAGAGAUCUCCCACAGUCAUUCCGACACUGCAACUUCUUGGUCAACUCUCCAGUAGUUAGCAUCAUUGUACUCUUUUGUUCCUGCCCCACCAUCAUCUGUGCUCUCCUUUUCUGGUACCUUAGGAACAAUGCUCCUUUUCAACGGAGCAGCUUCACCGACAAUCCCUUCUUUAAGAGCAUGUUCCAUGGCCUUCUCGGUACCCUCCAAUUCCACGCCAACAAAUUCAACAUCCUCUUCA
Molecule: unclassified non-coding RNA, 495 nt
Filed under: Hevea brasiliensis (rubber tree)
Lineage: Eukaryota; Viridiplantae; Streptophyta; Magnoliopsida; Malpighiales; Euphorbiaceae
Source: RNAcentral